AAUAAUGCAAUGAAAAGAUCACAGUAGAAAUCAUUGAAAUGCAGUAUCAGAGACUUAGUGGACGGUGAGAACUAAGGCAAUAAUGAAAUCGAAUUACAAUCUUGGAGCAUGUUCAAAUGAACCGGAAACAAUCCGUUAUCAAAUCAAGUGGUUAAAUCAAAACCUUUUUGAUCUAACAAGUUGGGUGGUACCGCGACUAUAAUCGUCCCUUCA
This 213-nucleotide non-coding RNA is filed under the name Turicibacter sanguinis. RNAcentral describes it as "T-box sequence". It matches the Rfam family "T-box leader". From Rfam's summary of the family: Uncharged tRNA acts as the effector for transcription antitermination of genes in the T-box leader family. Lineage: Bacteria; Bacillati; Bacillota; Erysipelotrichia; Erysipelotrichales; Turicibacteraceae. The record is from RNAcentral.